RNAcentral lists this ribosomal RNA (207 nucleotides) under uncultured bacterium. Its description in RNAcentral is "partial 16S ribosomal RNA". It matches the Rfam family "Bacterial small subunit ribosomal RNA", at positions 568 to 774 of the family's 1533-position model. The record is from RNAcentral.
CAUGCAGGCGGUUCGGUAAGUCAGAUGUGAAAUCUUCGAGCUCAACUCGGAAAUUGCAUUUGAUACUGCCGAUCUUGAGUUCGGUAGAGGAAGGCGGAAUUCCUGGUGUAGCGGUGAAAUGCGUAGAUAUCAGGAGGAACACCGGUGGCGAAGGCGGCCUUCUGGUCCGAUACUGACGCUGAGAUGCGAAAGCGUGGGGAGCAAACA